Molecule: ribosomal RNA, 468 nt
Filed under: uncultured bacterium
Lineage: Bacteria
Description: partial 16S ribosomal RNA
Rfam family: Bacterial small subunit ribosomal RNA
Source: RNAcentral
GACGAACGCUGGCGGCGUGCUUAACACAUGCAGGUCGAACGGAAAGGCCCUGCUUUUGUGGGGUGCUCGAGUGGCGAACGGGUGAGUAACACGUGAGUAACCUGCCCUUGACUUUGGGAUAACUUCAGGAAACUGGGGCUAAUACAGGAUAGGAGCUCCUGCUGCAUGGGGGUGGUUGGAACGUUUCGGCGGUUGGGGAUGGACUCGCGGCUUAUCAGCUUGUUGGUGGGGGAGUGGCUUACCAAGGCUUUGACGGGUAGCCGGCCUGAGAGGGUGACCGGCCUCCAUGGGCCUGAGAUACGCACCAGACUCCAACGGGAGGCAGCAGUGGGGAAUAUUGCCCAAUGGGCGGGCGCCUGAUGAAGCGACCCCGCGUGCGUGAUGCCGGCCUUCUGGUUGUAAACCGCUUUCGCCUGUGACGAAGCGUGAGUGACGGUAAUGGGUAAAGAAGCACCGGCUAACUACGUG